CAACAGCUGUGUGCAGAUCAACAAUGGAUCAUAUAUCGAGUGCAGAGAGAGUAUGAGCAUGCAGCGUUUAAAGCGUGGAAGUACUGACCUUACUUUGAGUUUGAUUCCAUAAAAAGUGACAAAAACAUUAGUGUCCGCUGUGCGUGGGAAGAAAACUUCUUUUUACAGCGAAAAAACCCCUAAACUUCCAACAAGCACCGAGUAGCUACGACGUAAUGGGAAACUCAGAGAAACUCGCGGAUUCUUCCACACCUGCACCAGGGUAAACCUCCGCCUGCUUUACAGGUGAAAAUAGAGCAACAGGACCGCUGAGUCUUUGACUUUAUUUAUUUUCUGCUGUGUUUUACUUGCAUCUAUUUGAAAGACUGAGUGUAAACACAAAAAAUAUUUUAUUUUAUGAGCUGGAAUGUGCAGAAAAUAGGUUUCAAUGUUAAACUAAUUUCUUCCAGUCAGAGAAUGUUGCAGAUAAUUAAAUCUUUGCUUGAUGCAUAAAGUUAAAAGAUUAAAACUAAUAAAACAAGUUUUAAAAAGAGACUUUUCCAUUUGAUUACAUUUUGUAUGAUGAUUAUGUAGAAAAAGUAGAAUUGGGCUGAAAGAUCUAUCACUUUAUCACCUCUUCAGGUUGUAAAUCGUGUUUUUAAAAAGUAACUAAGUAACUAAGUAAUUAAUUACUUUUGAAAAUAAGUAAUCAGUAAAGUAAUGGGAUUACUUUUUUGGGGGAAGUAAUCAGUAAUUAGUUACUGAUUACUUUUUUCAAGUAACUUGACCAACACUGCUCAUCAGUACAAAUAUGUCCAUUAAUUUGCUUUAGAAGCUUGCGCCACCUGAUGCUGCAGGUUGAUGUUCAACCUUUGGUGCUCAUUUCAAUCUCCAGCUUUUUAUUCUUGUACUCCAAGACAUGAGUAGCUUUGCAUGAUUCCCCGUUCAAAAUAAUCAGCCUUUAUCGUAUUCUGCUCAUCGUCUGAAGGGAUAUCCCCUCUCUUUGACAUCAUGCAGAUCCAAGAGUAAAAAAAGACAGUUUUGGCUCACAGGAAUGACCCAUACAUACACUGACUUUAUUAUUUGAAACUUUACUCAUGUUUCACAUGAAUCCACUAUUGAAACAGGAGAUGUGUCACGGACUGGCUCUGGAGGACUCAGGGGUCCGUGAGCAGUUUUGACUGUUGUUGUUAUUAUUAUCAUCAUUAUUUGGUGACGUGUGUGUUAAUCUGUGUUCCACUCAUUAUAUGUAUAGGCAGGGUGUGGGUGUGUACGUGUGCGUGUCUGCGGGUGUGGCUGGAGGAUGGAGCACAGCCACCUGCAGGCCUGAUGGUUGUGGCCCUGCGGGAGGACUGGCCACACCUGAAGUUCCUGCCACACCUGUUGGUGAUCAGGGCUCGUCGGGGGAGCUACUUUGGCGAGUGUUGGAGCUCCCACCGGCGCGGGAUCAUUGCGUUGUCAUCCAAAGUGGAGGAGUGGACCAGAAAGGCAGCACGCACGGGGUGUGCGGAAACACGACAGCGGGGAGCACGAGCACAGACGUCGGAGGGGAGCACACACAUGGGAGUCAAGGGAGAAACGGGGAGUUAUUGUGUUUACAGCUUUCACUGUAAAUAAAGUGCAGUUUCCAUCGCAGAAACCUGCGUUUUGGCUCCUCAUUCCCCAUAUCCCCACGGUCUGCCAGCCAGACCUUGACAAGAUGUUUAAUGAGAAAAUAAAUAAAAUAUAG
This is a long non-coding RNA of Astatotilapia calliptera (eastern happy), 1708 nucleotides long. Lineage: Eukaryota; Metazoa; Chordata; Actinopteri; Cichliformes; Cichlidae. The record is from Ensembl.